RNAcentral lists this long non-coding RNA (856 nucleotides) under Callithrix jacchus (white-tufted-ear marmoset). RNAcentral describes it as "lncRNA (ENSCJAG00000055117.2)". The record is from RNAcentral. Lineage: Eukaryota; Metazoa; Chordata; Mammalia; Primates; Cebidae.
CAACAAAGAACACUUCCUCUGUGCUAGCAAGGCUGCAGUAAAUUGCUAUUAAAACAAAUUCAGCCUCUUAGUUGCUACCAUCUUGCCAUUAGGUAAAGUUCCAGGGUCCUAAUCAGGAUAUCACAUUGUAUUUACUAAGGAUGUCUCCUCAGACCCCUAUUGGCUGUAACAGAUUCUCAGUCUUUUCUUGUUUUCUAUGACUUUGCAGUUUGGAGGAGUACUAGUGAGGUUUUUUUGUAAAAUGUUUUUCAUUUGAGUUCUCGUGAUACUUUUCUCAUGGUUACAAAGGGGUUUGAAGUUUUGGGGGAGGAAGACCACAGAUUUCUGUUAAGAUUCCUGCAUUUGCUCAAGAUAUUUUUUCUUUUCUAUGAGUAAAUUCAUGCUGAGAGAGGAAAGAGGAGAUCAACCUGCUAAUAGAAAAAGAUGCUUUGGUACUUCAUGAAAGAGAAGAUUAAAACUCCAGCUUUCUCAUGGGUGACAAGGAGUGAAGAUUGCUGCAACGCCCAGUGCUCAUGUUGUUUGGGGGCUGAUUAGAAAGCAGAAUAAAGCCAGUAUGGAGGCUUUUCUCUGUAUGUCUCACAGAACCAGGUGUGACUAAACAGGACUGUGAGCUGGCAAUGGAACAGGGCCACUUGGAGCUUGUUUCUAUUCUGUUUUACAAAGUCUAAAAACCACUCUGAAAGACAUAUUCACCCUAAAGUAUAGUGGAAAGUUGAGCAGGCAAUUCUUGAAUUAUCUAGCAGCUGGGAUCUCAAAGAAGACUGAAGGAGAGAGGCUAACAAACUAUGAUAUCUGGACUCAUUUGCAAAUUGACUUCAAAUUAGAUUCUUCCAAAGAGCUGCUGGAAAGAUACUGA